This 26-nucleotide small nuclear RNA is filed under the name Arabidopsis thaliana (thale cress). Its description in RNAcentral is "snRNA_04405". Lineage: Eukaryota; Viridiplantae; Streptophyta; Magnoliopsida; Brassicales; Brassicaceae. The record is from RNAcentral.
UCCUGCUUCUCUCAUGACAGAUUCUG